RNAcentral lists this ribosomal RNA (800 nucleotides) under uncultured bacterium. Its description in RNAcentral is "bacterial SSU rRNA". It matches the Rfam family "Bacterial small subunit ribosomal RNA", at positions 189 to 966 of the family's 1533-position model. The record is from RNAcentral.
AUGUUUUCAAGGUGAAAGGUGGCCUUUCUUUGAAGCUGCCGUUGAAGGAUGGUUCCGCCUCCCAUUAGCUUGUUGGUGGGGUAAUGGCCUACCAAGGCGACGAUGGGUAGCCGGCCUGAGAGGGUGUCCGGCCACACUGGGACUGAGAUACGGCCCAGACUCCUACGGGAGGCAGCAGUCGAGAAGCUUCGGCAAUGGGCGAAAGCCUGACCGAGCGAUGCCGCGUGAGUGAAGAAGGCCCUAUGGGUUGUAAAGCUCUGUCAGAUUGGGAAGAAAAUCCUACGGUUAAUACCCGUGGGACUUGACGGUACCAUCAGAGGAAGCACCGGCUAACUCCGUGCCAGCAGCCGCGGUAAUACGGAGGGUGCAAGCGUUGUUCGGAUUCACUGGGUAUAAAGGGUGCGCAGGCGGCCCGAUAAGUCAGGGGUGAAAUAUGACGGCUUAACCGUCAAACUGCCCCUGAAACUGUCAGGCUUGAGUCCGGGAGAGGAAGGUGGAAUUCCAGGUGUAGCGGUGAAAUGCGUAGAUAUUUAGAGGAACGCCCAUGGCGAAGGCAGGCGGCUGGGCCGAUUCUGACGCUGAGGCACGAAAGCGUGGGUAGCGAACGGGAUUAGAUACCCCGGUAGUCCACGCCCUAAACGAUGUGCACUAGAUCGUGGCCGCUCUGACGCGGGCACGGUCGAAGCAAAAGUGAUAAGUGCACCGCCUGGGGAGUACGGUCGCAAGGCUAAAACUCAAAGGAAUUGACGGGGGCUCACACAAGCGGUGGAGCAUGUGGCUUAAUUCGAAGCAACGCGAAG